Molecule: RNA transcript, 3552 nt
Organism: Capsicum annuum
Lineage: Eukaryota; Viridiplantae; Streptophyta; Magnoliopsida; Solanales; Solanaceae
Gene name: peroxisomal fatty acid beta-oxidation multifunctional protein MFP2
Exons: 5
Source: RefSeq, a predicted model, not a curated record
UUUAAUUAAUUCCGCGGAAAAAAAAAUUUGGUCACGAAAUGUAAAAAUUUCAGCGGGAUAUGAAAUGUUUCUCUCUCUAGAAGGUCCUAACUCUCUCUCUUUCAUUGCCAAAAGACGCCUACUCUCUCUCUUACCUUGUCUUGAAGUAAAAGCCCUAAAUCUCAUUGCCUAUAUUCCUAAAUCUCUCAUUCAUUGUCACUAAAGGUUGAAGUUCUUGUUCGUUGCUCAUCUAAGAGUAAGCUUAUACUUCAGUGGUCAACUAGGAUUCUUGUGCUAAUCUGCUGCUUUAUUGAGAAGAAGAAAUUUUAUGCGGAAAUCACCUUCAAAUUGGAAACAGUUUCUCCUUUGUUCCCUUUGUUAUUGUAGUGGUGAGUAUACUUGCUUUUUUCCCUUAUGUCAGGACUCCAUAGAUCCUUCACGCCAUUAUUAUAAUUUUAUUUUGGGUAAGGGACUAGUUAUCAGAAAAAGACCCUAACACAACUAUUCAUACCAAUACUGUUAGAAAAUGAAGUGUUGAAGUAUGUUACCAUAUUAUCCAAAAGCUCAGGUUGUUGGAGACAACAUGUUUUUGUUUGCUUAAUUAGGUCUUCAACACCCCCUUACACAUGGCCCUUGAGCUAAACACAUGGACAUUCUUUUUGAUACUGGCUGGCGGUGGCCGGUGAGAUUAAACCUAGAACUUGUACUUAUUCCAAUACCAUGAUAAAGUGUGACCAUCUCAUUUAAAAGUUUAAUAGGUUGGAGACAGUGCACUUUUAUUUGGUUAGUUAUGUCUUCAACGUUAGUAAUCUACACAAGUUGGUCUUUGCAUUUAUAUUUAAAACGAAAAGAUUUUGAUCUUUGUGUAAUUAUAUGUCUGAAAUAUGUGUAGAAUCAGUUCUACAUGUAACAGGCUGUCUAUGCCAUAUUAACCAUGAUAGCAACUCUGCCACUUGCUCAAUUUUUCUUCUUUCACAUACUCCUCAUAAAGAAGGUUAGUCUUUUGUCAUCACUCAUCUGUCGAUCCUAUCUUGGGCCUUAUUUUUCUUUUUAAUCAUCAGCUAACGAUUUUGCUUGGAUGACAAGGAAUUAGCACCUAUGACUGCAUCAUUGCUCUCAGAGAUCAAGAGCAACAAGGAGUUGCAGGUUAGUAAAGUCCUCAAAUGUCAACUGUUAGCUCCCUAACUGGAUUAAGCAGUGCAAGCUCCUUUAAUACUUUCCAACGAGCAGCAUGGUGCACACUACCUCGCCUUUUUGUUGAGGAUCAGGUAUGCUUCAACAGAAAUUAAAUUCUGAUAAGUUCAAGGAAUUUAGUAGUACUAAACAGUUGGGUAUGGUAACUUUUAUUGAGUUUGCGGUGCUAAUUUAUAAUUUUCAUUCAGUUGGUUAUGGUAUUAACAACCCUUUAUCGUGUUCGUGGUGCUACUUUCGAACAGUCUUCAGUUGGCAUCUCAAUUUGAAUUUAGUUUCUAUUUUCACAUUUCUUAGCUUCAAUUCCAUGUAAACUUAUCAAAGUUACUAGUUCUACACACAAAAAAAAUUUCAUGUUAACUUAUCAGAAGAAAAGAAAUUUCAUUUAACCCGGUAAUGUGGUCAAUGCUUUGCCAGCUUGUGGAUAGAAGCUCUUUGAAGUGGACUCUCAUGAGAAACUAUGUUCAAUAUUGAGCUUGGUAGGGCUCUUAUGUUGCCAAAAGUGCUAGGAUAUUUUAGAAAAUUUGAACCUUAUGCUGUCAGUCUGUCAUUGUGGAGCUUUGCCAAUUUAUUGCAAUGUUAGUAAUCCACUUUUAGAGAUAGCAAAUCUUGAACAGUUCCUCUUGAGUUGAUUCUUUGGUAUGGUUGUUACAACCAUUAAGGGAUUAUCUGGUUGUGAUCGGUAGAACUUCAUAUGGUCUAAUUAUAGUUAAGAGGAUCGAGAACAGUAUGGCCUGGAUAAGAGGGAUUGUGUAGUAUCAAGUAUACCUCUUGAGCUGGAAAUUUUAUGCUUUAAUGCUUUUGUAUAAGUGAAUAGAAAAAGGAUAAUUUACUAAAUUUUGUUUAAUCUUUUGGUGUUUCCCUACAGUAUGAUGUAGUUUCUCCUGACACCGUAUCAGUCAGUUCACUUGGUAAAAGGUCAACGACAGAAGAACCAAUUAAGAAAAAGAAUCCAGCUGUUGUGAAGAUUAGCCUAUGGACGUUAGCACAAUUGAAUGCAGAGGAUGUUUCAAAAUCUACGGCUGAAAAUUCUCUAGCCUGUAGUAAUAAGGAAUUGCACUGGUUUCGUUGUUAAUAGAAUGUUCUUUCCUUUUAGGUAAAGUGUCUGGCAGCUUCAUUGGUUUAAUAGAUGUGCCUAUGUUACCAUGAUUUUUUAGCUAAACUAGUUCAAUAUUCUUAAACAUAGUGUGCUAUGUGUUGUCUGUCUUUAGGGCGAGACUUGCAAGGAUUUGCCCAAACAGUAUUCUACCACUAAGAAUUCCAACUUUAUUAUCUGUAACUUCUUUUCCUUAUCAACUUUGAAUGUAGAAUUUUGUUUGCAUAACUAACAAUGAUCAGAUUUAGUAUUUUGAUUUCCUACAUGCAGGCUGUGUGAUCUUAUUGGUUUCAAUGUUGCAAUGACUAUUGAAGCUCAAUUUGUAUUGAGUAUGCCUGAAAGAAUUUACAAGUCAACACUUAUUCCACUAAUGCAACAAGAUAAAAGAUUAGGUGAAACGACUCGAAAAGGUUUCUACUUAUACGAUGAAAGACACAAAGUCAAGCCUGGUCCAAAAAUUAAGAAAUACGUUGAGAAGGCAAGAGAAAUUUCUAGUGCCAGCAUUCACCCUAAGCUGGCAAAACUCUCAGACAAGGACAUCGUCGAAAUAAUCUUAUUCCCUUCAGUUAAUGAAUCAUGCAGAUUACUUGCUGAAUGCACUGCUGUCAAAGCUGCUGAUCUUGAUAUUGCUUAUGUCAUGGGCAUGGGCUUCCCCCCUUACAGGUCUGUGCUUUGAUCAGAUUAAAUGUGUGCGUACAUUAUUUCAUGGAAAAGCUGCUGAGAUUUUUUGAUAUACAUUAUCUUCCAAUCAAAGGUUCAAAACGUGAUCUGGAUAGCCAACUGAAAAUUAUUUCCUCAAAUUUUAUGGUAUUGAUUAUGUCUCAACAUGAAGAGAAGGUAAUGAAAGAAAGCAAGCGGAACAAAUCUCAUUCUGAUGAUGUAGGAUAUAUUGAAUCAGAGACAGUUGACCCAUCAAUGAAGAUGGAAAAUGUGUUGCCAGGGUCUGAAAGAUCAGCUGAAAUAUCUCAGGUUGUAGACUAUCAAAAUUACAAGGUGGGUGGAACUUUUGAAAAUUCUAAUCUUACAGCAAAAAUUAUGGAGACUAGAAGUUCUUUUAUGGAAAGAAAAGACAAUGAAUCUGUGGACUUGGGGCCAUCAACAAUGAGCAGCAAAGGAAUCAUGUUGGAAGAGUAGAGUGUAGAAUGUUAUUGAACUGGUAUAGCUAGAAAUGUUGAUUUGGAUUGCGUAAACAGUGCCAUAACAUUUAUGUUAUGGCUACUUGGCAAUUUGAGAUGUAAAUACAUUAUUAGUUUUAAUAUAUAGAGAAGUUGUCUUUAUUUUUGUUA